This 1228-nucleotide ribosomal RNA is filed under the name metagenome. RNAcentral describes it as "SSU rRNA". It matches the Rfam family "Eukaryotic small subunit ribosomal RNA", at positions 558 to 1783 of the family's 1831-position model. The record is from RNAcentral.
AGUCUGGUGCCAGCAGCCGCGGUAAUUCCAGCUCCAUCAGUGUAUAUUAACGUUGUUGCGGUUAAAAAGCUCGUAGUUGGAUUUCGGAGUGCGAAGGACAAGGCCCGUCAAUUGGCGUGGUCCGUCAGUCGCCUCCUAGCUUAGGGUAAUAGCCUCUCUUCCUUUACGGGUUGGGAUGUGCCGUUCCCUAUCUUUUACUUUGAUAAAAUCAGAGUGUUCAAAGCAGGCGUCACUUGCCUUGAAUGUUGCCGCAAGGGAUAAUAGAAUAUGACUUCGGUCUUAUUUUGUUGGUUUCUAGGGCUGAAGUAAUGACUAAUAGGGACAGUUGGGGGCGCUCGUAUUGAGUUGUCAGAGGUGAAAUUCUAGGAUUUACUCAAGACGAACUACUGCGAAAGCAUUCGCCAAGGAUGUUUUCAUUAAUCAAGAACGAAAGUUGGGGGAUCGAAGAUGAUCAGAUACCGUCGUAGUCUCAACCAUAAACUAUGUGGACCAACGAUCCGAGGAAGUUACAUGGAUGACUCUCCGGGCAGUUUGUGAGAAAUCAUAAGUAUUUGCAUUCCGGGGGGAGUAUGGUCGCAAGGCUGAAACUUAAAGGAAUUGACGGAAGGGCACCACCAGGAGUGGAACCUGCGGCUUAAUUUGACCCAACACGGGGAAACUUACCAGGUCCGGACACAGUUAGGAUUGACAGAUUGAGAGCUCUUUCUUGAUUCUGUGGGUGUGGUGCAUGGCCGUUUUUAGUUGGUGGAGUGAUUUGUCUGGUUAAUUCCGUUAACGAACGAGACCUUAACCUAUUAAUUAGUUAUGCGAACUUGAACUUCGGUUCUUUCGGUUCGUGGACAACUUCUUAGAGGGACUCUCGGCAUUUCUAGUCGAUGGAAGUUUGAGGCUAAAACAGGUCUGUGAUGCCCUUAGAUGUCCUGGGCCGCACGCGCGUUACACUGACGAAUGCAACGAGUUCUUCCUUCUCCGAUGGGAGUGGGUAAGCUUUUAAAAGUUCGUCGUGAUGGGGAUUGAACCUUGCAAUUAUUGUUCAUGAACGAGGAAUUCCUAGUAAGCGUAGUUCAUCAAACUGCGUUGAUUACGUCCCUGCCCUUUGUACACACCGCCCGUCGCUAGUACCGAUUGAAUGAUCCGGUGAGGAUUCAGGAUGGCAGAGUUUUAGCUUGCCUGAAAGGGUAAGCGGAUUCAGCCAGAAUUUGUUCAAACCGUGUCAUUUAGAGGAACU